AGCGGGUAACUAACCGGAAGAAAAGAAUGCUAUCGUCAAUGAAUCAGUGACUUUAACCAUUAUUUCUGGUUCUGUGCUCUCUCUCUCUCUCUCUCUCUCUCUCUCUCAAUCAAUAGCUUUGGGGUAACACAGAACAACCAGGGGUGGGUGGUCCGGCUGAAUUCAAGCUAUGAUGCACUAUUAUAUGGUAGUAUCGCUGCCGGCAAUCUUGUUGCUGUUGAUCUUGAUUUUGGCAUGCUACCUCUUCGGAAGAGCAAGGGGCCGGACGGAAGCGGCCAGAGUUCCCCAGUAUUACGGGCCUCCGGCGCCGCCGUAUGGGACUCAACCUCCUCAUCCUCUUGAGAAAUAGAGACAGGUUGGAUCAUAACGCAAACGUAUUAUUAGUUAAGAGGUAAUUUUCGUAAAUUUUAUCUAGGUAAGUAGUAACAUAGUCGAUGACUUAUUUUGUUUUGAGUAUCGAAUGUGAGAACAAGUCGUCAGUGGCAUGAAUUAAUACCUUUGGUACAGACAUACAUACAUAUAUACAUGAAUACUGUCCUCUUGUGGCA
Long non-coding RNA from Diospyros lotus (date-plum), 548 nucleotides. RefSeq lists it as uncharacterized. The transcript has 2 exons. NCBI's taxonomy places the organism in Eukaryota, Viridiplantae, Streptophyta, Magnoliopsida, Ericales, Ebenaceae. The record is from RefSeq and is a predicted model, not a curated record.